AAAAUUAUUUAAACUUGAAUUUUGAUUACCCAUUAAAGGAAAGAAGAAAAUGCAUAUGGAAAAUGAAAUUUCAACGUGACAUAAUUUUGGGUUCGAGUGUUCAAAGGUCUAGUAUAUCUUGGUUCUCGAUGCAUCGUCCCAAAUUGACCCAUUUAGUAGAGGAAUCGAAACCAAAUCAACCGUUUCUAUUUGGUUCGGUCCGAUUGCACCCCUAACCAUUACAAUUCGAAUUUAUCCUUCAUGCCGCUGCCUCUGCACACUACCCUAAACUUCUCCUCACAAUGAAGUAAAAUAGAUUUAGGGCACGAUUAAGAAAGGCAAUUUCGAAGGCUAUGGGCUCUACAUGACUAGCGGUGGAGAGAAAAAUGGAGUCGCAAUUUUAUGAUGGAAAGAGAAAUGGAGUCGUGGUGGAAAAUCGAGCAUCAAUGGUGAGUAGGCAAUUGGGGUGUAGUCGAUAGUUAAGAUAGGCAUAUUUGGAAGACGGUGGGGUUUCAUACGACUGGAGGUGGAGAUAGAAGUGAAAUUGCAGUCUGCCGAUGAAGAGAGAAGUGGAGGCAUCAGGAUGCUAUCAUUGGAAUCACGAACAGGGGACGAUAAGUUGUUGGUGAUCAAUGGUAGGUGCUGGAGACCAGUGAUGGUUCGAUGAUAGUUGUAGAAGCAAGAGAGAUAUGUGUUUGAAUGUAGACAGAGAAAUAGACAUUGUUUGAAUGGGUAAUUAGCA
Molecule: long non-coding RNA, 721 nt
Filed under: Olea europaea (common olive)
Lineage: Eukaryota; Viridiplantae; Streptophyta; Magnoliopsida; Lamiales; Oleaceae
Description: long non-coding RNA (OEUR_LNC003314)
Source: RNAcentral